This is an RNA transcript of Anastrepha ludens (Mexican fruit fly), 1821 nucleotides long. It is a transcript of the gene named transcription factor collier, with no coding region annotated. NCBI's taxonomy places the organism in Eukaryota, Metazoa, Arthropoda, Insecta, Diptera, Tephritidae. The record is from RefSeq and is a predicted model, not a curated record. The transcript is spliced from 12 exons.
UCGAAUUGGAAUGGGGCCGCAAAUUAUAUCCGUCGACCGGUCCACGGUCGGCGAGCGGCCUCAUGUUUGGUCUGCCACCCACGGCGGGAGAUAUGAAUCAGCCGCGCGGUCCGAUGACUUCGCUGAAAGAGGAGCCGUUAGGUGCGCGCGCCUGGAUGCAACCGGUCAUCGAUCAGAGCAAUUUGGGCAUCGGUCGAGCUCACUUCGAAAAGCAGCCACCGAGUAAUUUGCGUAAAUCAAAUUUUUUCCACUUUGUCAUUGCGUUGUACGAUCGUGCCGGUCAACCAAUUGAAAUCGAACGCACAGCAUUUAUUGGAUUUAUCGAAAAGGAUUCGGAAUCGGAUGCUACCAAAACAAAUAAUGGCAUACAAUAUAGGCUGCAACUGCUCUAUGCGAAUGGUGCGCGCCAAGAGCAGGACAUAUUUGUGCGACUCAUCGAUUCGGUGACAAAGCAGGCGAUUAUUUACGAAGGGCAAGAUAAAAAUCCGGAAAUGUGUCGAGUUCUGUUAACGCAUGAGGUUAUGUGCAGUCGCUGUUGUGAUAAAAAAAGUUGUGGCAACCGCAAUGAGACACCAUCAGAUCCUGUCAUUAUUGAUCGAUUUUUCCUGAAAUUCUUUCUAAAAUGCAAUCAAAAUUGUUUGAAGAACGCCGGCAAUCCAAGAGAUAUGAGACGCUUUCAGGUUGUCAUCUCCACUCAAGUGACCGUUGACGGCCCGCUUUUAGCCAUAUCCGAUAAUAUGUUCGUACAUAACAAUUCGAAACAUGGACGUCGCGCUAAACGCUUGGAUACCACGGAAGGUACAGGAAACUCCUCCCUGUCCUUAACGGGUCACCCACUCGCGCCUGACAGUACCUAUGAUGGUCUCUAUCCACCAUUGCCUGUGGCCACGCCCUGCAUCAAAGCGAUUUCGCCCAGCGAGGGUUGGACUUCUGGCGGCGCCACAGUCAUUAUUGUUGGUGAUAAUUUCUUUGAUGGCCUCCAAGUUGUCUUCGGCACAAUGCUCGUUUGGAGCGAACUGAUUACAUCGCAUGCCAUUCGGGUGCAGACACCACCACGCCACAUACCCGGUGUGGUGGAGGUGACUUUGUCAUACAAAAGCAAACAGUUUUGCAAAGGUUCACCGGGACGUUUUGUUUAUGUUUCCCUGAACGAGCCAACCAUCGAUUAUGGUUUUCAACGCCUACAAAAACUCAUACCACGUCAUCCUGGUGAUCCGGAGAAGUUGCAAAAGGAAAUCAUACUCAAGAGAGCAGCCGACUUAGUUGAAGCCUUGUAUUCGAUGCCAAGAUCUCCCGGCGGCUCAACCGGCUUCAACUCCUACACCGGCCAGCUGGCUGUGAGUGUUCAAGAUACCGCCGGCCAAUGGACCGAGGACGAUUAUCAGCGUGCACAGUCGAGCAGCGUUAGCCCACGUGGCGGUUAUUGCAGUAGCGCUUCUACGCCACACAGUUCGGGCGGCUCUUAUGGCGCUUCGGUGGCCGCUAAUGGUUAUGGACCCACCACCAAUAUGGGUACGUUAUCCUCUUCACCAGGCAGUGUUUUCAACUCCACCAGCAUGUCGUCACCGUGGCAUCAGGCGCUAGUGCAACACCACCACACACAUCCGCACCACUACCAUCAUCAUGCGCACCAGCCGUGGCAUAAUCCAGCUGCCUCAAUUGCAACGGCCGCAGUGUAAAGCGUGAAGCCAGCGAGGUUGUGUUGAGCGAAACGUGAAUCGAAUGAAGCAAAUGGAGUAAGCGGCCUCAGCUUCAAUCCGUUCACAUUACCAACAUGUAAUACCCAAGGUUAUGGCACCAGUCAGCUGGUGACGUCCACUA